ACUCGGUGUAUACUGGCCUUGAACCGAUCACAAAUUCUGACAGGACGACUGACAUUGACAGGACAAAUUACAAUGAUGAGACAACUGACAUUGACAUUGAGAAAGAAAACAGAAAAGAAAGUAGUAACUGAUAUCACAUGUGCAAAUCAAAACUUAUAUCUUAUUAGUACAUAUUAGUUAAAAUCUUUACUGAAUUUGUAUCCUAAUCAUUACAUGCAGAAAAUCGAUUCCAUAAGACUGACACAGUGGACUUUACACGUGAAGAGGAUUAAAAUUUCUUAAAGCAUUCACACACCAACGCUGGGUUUGCUAAAGAAGAUCCGAAAACUCACAGAGGUCCAUAUCGUCAGCAACAAAACUUUAAGAAAUUUUAUCCAACCAAUUUGAGGUUAGUUGGAUAGUUCCAAGGCUACCCAGCAGAAUGCCUACUCUCAGGCCACGACCGGAACGAUUGAGCAUCGUUAGAGAACUCUCGGAGGAAGAAGCA
RNAcentral lists this long non-coding RNA (487 nucleotides) under Aedes aegypti (yellow fever mosquito). RNAcentral's name for it is "lncRNA AAEL021247". Lineage: Eukaryota; Metazoa; Arthropoda; Insecta; Diptera; Culicidae. The record is from RNAcentral.